Molecule: ribosomal RNA, 301 nt
Filed under: uncultured bacterium
Lineage: Bacteria
Description: partial 16S ribosomal RNA
Rfam family: Bacterial small subunit ribosomal RNA
Source: RNAcentral
CAGCCGCCACGGGAAUACGAAGGGUGCAAGCGUUAAUCGGAAUUACUGGGCGUAAAGCGCACGCAGGCGGUCUGACAAGUCAGAUGUGAAAUCCCCGGGCUUAACCUGGGAACUGCAUUUGAAACUGUCAGGCUGGAGUCUUGUAGAGGGGGGUGGAAUUCCAGGUGUAGCGGUGAAAUGCGUAGAGAUCUGGAGGAAUACCGGUGGCGAAGGCGGCCCCUGGACAAAGACUGACGCUCAGGUGCGAAAGCGUGGGGAGCAAACAGGAUUAGAUACCCCUGUAGUCCCUGUCUCUUAUACA